Molecule: ribosomal RNA, 254 nt
Filed under: uncultured bacterium
Lineage: Bacteria
Description: partial 16S ribosomal RNA
Rfam family: Bacterial small subunit ribosomal RNA
Source: RNAcentral
CACGUAGGGGCCAAGCGUUGUCCGGAUUUAUUGGGCGUAAAGAGCUCGUAGGCGGUUCGGUAAGUCGGAUGUGAAAACUCUGGGCUUAACCCAGUGAUUGCACCCGAUACUGCUGUGACUUGAGUCCGGUAGGGGAGUGGGGAAUUCCUGGUGUAGCGGUGAAAUGCGCAGAUAUCAGGAGGAACACCGGUGGCGAAGGCGCCACUCUGGGCCGGAACUGACGCUGAGGAGCGAAAGCGUGGGUAGCAAACAGG